AGUGAACGCUGGCGGUAGGCCUAACACAUGCAAGUCGAACGGCAGCACAGUAAGAGCUUGCUCUUACGGGUGGCGAGUGGCGGACGAGUGAGGAAUACAUCGGAAUCUACUUUUUCGUGGGGGAUAACGUAGGGAAACUUACGCUAAUACCGCAUACGACCUACGGGUGAAAGCAGGGGAUCUUCGGACCUUGCGCGAUUGAAUGAGCCGAUGUCGGAUUAGCUAGUUGGCGGGGUAAAGGCCCACCAAGGCGACGAUCCGUAGCUGGUCUGAGAGGAUGAUCAGCCACACUGGAUCUGAGACACGGUCCAUACUCCUACGGGAGGCAGCAGUCGGGAAUAUUGGACAAUGGGCGCAAGCCUGUUCCAGCCAUACCGCGUGGGUGAAGAAGGCCUUCGGGUUGUAAACCCCUUUUGUUGGGAAAGAAAAGCAGCAGGUUAAUACCCCGCUGUUCUGACGGUACCCAAAGAAUAAGCACCGGCUAACUUCGUG
RNAcentral lists this ribosomal RNA (492 nucleotides) under uncultured bacterium. Its description in RNAcentral is "partial 16S ribosomal RNA". It matches the Rfam family "Bacterial small subunit ribosomal RNA", at positions 29 to 507 of the family's 1533-position model. The record is from RNAcentral.